CUGGGCCGUGUCCAGUCCCGGGUCCUGCUUGGGUGCAAACCUGCUGCAAGGUGAGCAGCAGGGAACUAAAGCCAAGGAGGGGCUCCUCACACUGCACCCAUGCCCACAGCCUGCCCCGAAGGACCUGUUCUGCCAGGCCUCAGGCCUCCAAGCAGGGCUUUCUUGAGGCAAAGUGGGACUCUGUGCCUCGUCUCUGAUGCUGGAGAAAGACAAGGCAUCAGGGUCAGGUGUGAUGGCUCUUUGCAGUCAGAAUGAAAGUGCAGCUUAUUAGUCAAGAGGUGACAUUGAGACCUGAGCCCCAGCUCCUUGAAGUCCCUCUUCAUGCAACCCAAAUACACUUCCCAGGGUGGGGAGGGGAAGCCACGCACCGGGAACCUCAUCUUGCUUACAGGUUGUGCCGUCAGGGUGAAUGCCAACUCCUUCCUCCCCGGAAAAGCCAUAACUCAACAAAUAUGGUUUGAUGACCUGCAUUAUGAUGUCACUCUUUUUGAGAGCCUAAGAGCAGGCCAAGACCCUCCUGAGCCCCAGGUUCCUCAUCUUCAGAGCAACCAGUCGAGCAUGAAAUGGCUGAUGUGGGACCCUUGGAAUAAAAGUGUCAGAUACACCUUCGGGAUGAGCACCUGCUGUCUAUUUCCUCCCCCUUGACUCCACACAAUUCAGGAAGGAAAAAAAUCACUGCCUUUCUCAUUAAUCACGCCAAUAGCUGCUGCAAAAUGCUUGGGAGUUGAGUGAGAUGGGAAGAGACUAUUAAAAAUAAAGAUAUAGAACUGAAAGUCCUCAGCAUCUGGGUAAGAAUGAAAUCCUGGGGAACAGUGGAAUAGGUCAUUUUGGUGACAGGUAAUUGGUUAAAACUACAAAUUCCUCAAUGGCACUGAAUCCAGAGUGAGCUUGGGAUCUAGGAGGAAGUUUCUGUCCAGAACAAACCUUUUUUUAGAAGAUAACAUGCAUACAGAAAAGCAUGUAAAUCCCAGCUUGAUGAAUUUCCAGCUAAUGAAGCUGCCUACAUAUCCUGAUUAAAACCAGAGUGUGGCCAGCCUCUUAGCCAGCCCUUCUUACCCACCCCAGGAUGACCACCAUACUGACCAUCACCAAGAACACUGGUGAGUUUUACCUGUUUUCAAAUUUCGUGUAAAGAGUGUCUUAUAGUAUUCUCUGUUGUGUCUGGCUUCUCUCAUUCAACAUGAUGCACGUGGUUACACAUGGUUACAUCUGGCAUAGCUGAGUAGUUUUCCAUUGUGUGGCCAUACGCAAUCUAUUUCCUAGCCUAUUAAUG
This 1273-nucleotide long non-coding RNA is filed under the name Heterocephalus glaber (naked mole-rat). RNAcentral describes it as "lncRNA (ENSHGLG00000046520.1)". Lineage: Eukaryota; Metazoa; Chordata; Mammalia; Rodentia; Bathyergidae. The record is from RNAcentral.